RNAcentral lists this long non-coding RNA (1139 nucleotides) under Notechis scutatus (mainland tiger snake). RNAcentral describes it as "lncRNA (ENSNSUG00000012194.1)". Lineage: Eukaryota; Metazoa; Chordata; Lepidosauria; Squamata; Elapidae. The record is from RNAcentral.
GUUUUUUUUUCUUGAGAUUUCGCAAUUGGAUUAAGGUGUGAAGAACCUGAAGAAUUUUUCUUUUCUUUUCCUUUUAUUAUUAUUGUUAUUUUUUUUAAUAUUAUUGGGUUUUAUUCUCCUUUUGACUAUUGCAACUGAGGAUUAAGGUCUAGAAGAACCUGAAGAAAGAAAUUUUUCUGGUGGCAAUUUUUCUUUUUUCCUUGAAAUUUUUUUUCCUUUUUAAAUUUUGGGCUUUUUGGUUUUUUUUUACUGAUUUUUCUUUUUUACGUUUUUCCUUUCUCUAAUUGGAUUAUAAUUGUUACACUGCCAACUGGAUAAAAAGAGUGGGAAGAUUCUGAGCUAUUCAAAUGAGUAAGAAAGUUCUACCUUCUGGCGCAUCAACUUCUGCUCCUGCCUCCCCAUCAACUGGAGGACGACUUUCAACAAUGGCGAAGCAAGAUAAAGGACAAACGGAUCUAACGACGGUUAUGCAAGGAAUUCAAGAACUUAAAAUGAGUAUUGAACAAAGGAUGGGGAGUAUUGAACAAAAAAUUGAAAAUAUCCAACAGAUGAUGGCGAAGUAUGAUGAGAAACUACAAAAAAUGGAAGAGAAAGACAAUCAAAGAGAUGAGAAAUUGCAAAAAUUAGAAGAGAAAGACAAUCAAAGAGAUGAGAAAAUUGGAAAUAUUGAUGACAGAGUGACAACGCUUGAACAAAACAAGAAUGAGAUGGUGAAGUGGGAGAUGGACAGAUCAGAAUAUUACCUCAGAUUUCAAAAUAUAGAGGAAGAAAAAGGACAAGAUCUUGCUGCAGUAAUGAUAGAAAUCUUGGCUGGAGCUUUGGAAAUAACAGAGGAAAAAAUGAUGGAUGGAAUAGAUGAGAUAUACCGAGUUUUUACAAGAUAUGCAUCGAGGAAUAAGUUACCAAGAGAAGUUCAUGUUAGAUUUACUAAAAAAUCUAUCAGAACGCAGAUAUUACAAGCGGCAAGAGAGAAGACAUUGAAAUAUGGAGAUAAAGAGAUUGGGGUUUUAAAACAAGUACCAAGAAAAAUUAGAGAGAUGAGGAGAGAAUAUCGUUUCCUGACUAAAGUAUUAUUGGAAAAGGAGGUGAAUUACAGAUGGUUGAUUCCAGAAGGAUUAAUGGUUACAUGGAAAGAACAG